Phrynosoma platyrhinos (Desert horned lizard) is the source of this 73-nucleotide non-coding RNA. NCBI's taxonomy places the organism in Eukaryota, Metazoa, Chordata, Lepidosauria, Squamata, Phrynosomatidae. The record is from the annotation of a GenBank genome assembly.
GGUCAAUGUGGCAUAGUGGUUUGAGUGUUGGACUGUGACUCUUGAGACCAGGGUCCAAAUCCCUGCUCGUCCA